This is a long non-coding RNA of Bos taurus (domestic cattle), 734 nucleotides long. NCBI's taxonomy places the organism in Eukaryota, Metazoa, Chordata, Mammalia, Artiodactyla, Bovidae. The record is from Ensembl.
CAAGUAAAGUGAAUGAUAAGUCACAUGAUAAUGGCUAAAGAAAAAUGAAGAGAGAGUCGAGAGAUGGGUGAGGACAGGCAGAGAAAGCCUCUGAGCAGAGAGGAAAGAGGUGAUGGAGAGAGCCAUCAACUAUUGGGAGAAAGAGUUCUAGGCAAGAAUACUGAAGUGGAUAGCCAUUUCCUUCUCCAGGGGAUCUUCCUGACCCAGGGAUUGAACCCAGGACUCCUGCACCGGCAGGCGGAUUCCUUAUGUCUGAGUCACCUGGGAAGCCCAAUAUUGAAAGAGAUCUCAUUUCGCUGAGGAUUGGUGAAAACGUCGCUGGUCAACCUGGAAAAGACAGGCUGGGAUUCAGAUUGGAGCCUCUGGCCUGGAAGAACCCGUCCUUCAAAUUCUUGCUCCCAUCUUUUUCCGUCUCUCCAAUUCCUCUGUCAAUUUCUCCCUGUCUCUCCUUUUACCUACACACACACAUAUGCACAUGCACACAUGCCUGUGUGUGCAUGUGCACACACACACACACACACACACACACAUUUCAAAGCUCCAAAGAGAGAUGUGCUAUGUAUCAGAACCAGGUCUUGGGCAGAAAAGAAAGGCAAUCUCUUCUAUUCCAAAUCCGGAGUCCCUAACUCUGAAAGGAGAAGGAGAGAGGGGGUAGAUUAUGAGAGAAUCUUUCCUGCCUCCCUACUGACCCUCUUUAUUAUAUUCUCAGUAUUUGUUUAUGAUUCCUGUUAAUC